GACGAACGCUGGCGGCGUGCUUAACACAUGCAAGUCGAACGGAAAGGCCCUGCUUUUGUGGGGUGCUCGAGUGGCGAACGGGUGAGUAACACGUGAGUAACCUGCCCUUGACUUUGGGAUAACUUCAGGAAACUGGGGCUAAUACCAGAUAGGAGCUCCUGCUGCGUGGGGGGGGUUGGAAAGUUUCGGCGGUUGGGGAUGGACUCGCGGCUUAUCAGCUUGUUGGUGGGGUAGUGGCAUAGCUAGGCUUUGACGGGUAGCCGACCUGAGAGGGUGACCGGCCACAUUGGGACUGCGAUACGGCCCAGACUCCUACGGGAGGCAGCAGUGGGGAAUAUUGCCCAACGGGCGGAAGCCUGAUGAAGCAACGCCGCGUGCGUGAUGACGGCCUUCUGGUUGUAAACCGCUUUCGCCUGUGACGAAGCGUUAGUGACGGUAAUGGGUAAAGAAGCACCGGCUAACUACGUG
This 468-nucleotide ribosomal RNA is filed under the name uncultured bacterium. RNAcentral's name for it is "partial 16S ribosomal RNA". It matches the Rfam family "Bacterial small subunit ribosomal RNA", at positions 28 to 507 of the family's 1533-position model. The record is from RNAcentral.